RNAcentral lists this unclassified non-coding RNA (341 nucleotides) under soil metagenome. RNAcentral describes it as "partial contains 5.8S ribosomal RNA, internal transcribed spacer 2, and large subunit ribosomal RNA". The stretch from base 1 to 120 matches the Rfam family "5.8S ribosomal RNA", at positions 35 to 154 of the family's 154-position model. The record is from RNAcentral.
GAUGAAGAACGUAGCGAAAUGCGAUAAGUAGUGUGAAUUGCAGAAUUCAGUGAAUCAUCGAAUCUUUGAACGCACAUUGCGCCCUUUGGUAUUCCAAAGGGCAUGCCUGUUCGAGCGUCAUUUGUACCCUCAAGCUUUGCUUGGUGUUGGGCGUCUUGUCUCUAGCUUUGCUGGAGACUCGCCUUAAAGUAAUUGGCAGCCGGCCUAUUGGUUUCGGAGCGCAGCACAAGUCGCACUCUCUAUCAGCAAAGGUCUAGCAUCCACUAAGCCUUUUUUUCAACUUUUGACCUCGGAUCAGGUAGGGAUACCCGCUGAACUUAAGCAUAUCAAUAAGCGGAGGA